CAGCAGCAGUGUGUGCUGUGGGGUCACUUUGGGGUGCUGUGGGGGGCAACGGGGCACUGUGGGAGGUUGGAUGGGGCAGUAGCAUUGGGCUCUGUGGGGGUUAACAAACAGGAAACCAAACACCUGACCAGGGGACCAAUCAGGAGACAAGAUACUUUCAAAUCUUGGUGGAGGGAAGCCUUUGUUUGUGUUUUUUGGGUUUGGCUUUGAUCUCUCUGGGCUCUGAGAGUGACCACACGUACCUACAGGCUCUCUAAUCUUCUAUUCCAAUUUUGAUUUCUCCUUCCCAAGCCUGACCCAAUCACCCGGCUGGAAUGAGAGGAAGAGCCGUGGGUGCCCAAUCUCCAGGCCAGUGAGGAAAGAGGGAUCCCGAGAGGCGCCCACACAGCACAAUGACUUCUGUCUGGAUUGUCUCUCUCCCAGCAGUUGAUGAGAGAGUGAGUGAGAACGAGGAGGGGAAUCAACAGCAGGAAGUUCCUGGGCACGGGGAAUAGCAGGGAACCUCUGUGGGAAGACCCCAUAAGUGCUUCGACUGUGGAAAAAGUUUCA
Molecule: long non-coding RNA, 549 nt
Organism: Gopherus flavomarginatus (Mexican gopher tortoise)
Lineage: Eukaryota; Metazoa; Chordata; Testudines; Testudinidae
Exons: 4
Source: RefSeq, a predicted model, not a curated record